This 2939-nucleotide long non-coding RNA is filed under the name Dermacentor andersoni. RNAcentral describes it as "uncharacterized LOC126528085". The record is from RNAcentral. Lineage: Eukaryota; Metazoa; Arthropoda; Arachnida; Ixodida; Ixodidae.
UGCCAUAGCCUCCUGUAUACUUUCAUGCCUGCCCAUCAGCACCGACAGCGCAGGGAACUGGUCGUCGUGCCUAGUUCUUUCGCUCACCACCAGUUGGCGGUGCUACCCCAGAAUAGAAAUACAGGAUGCUCUACCGCAGCGUGUGCUGUAGCAUAACUAUAUAUCACAUUAUUUUUUUUGUCGGUGCCAAUUAUAUCGUUUUAAGACAUCUGCGGCAUUUAACGCCGACACAGAUGCCUACAGGCCACUGCGAAUUGCCUCUGCCUCAGGAAAAAGAAAAAAAAAACGAUAAAAGGAAAACCACAGCUCUCAUCUGUACUGCUAUGAAACUUAAUUUUCCUUCUGCUUAUUAUAACAUAUGUAUUGUAUGUCAGUGUGGAAAAAACAUCGGCUCAAUAACUGCACAAGAAACACUUUUAUUGCCAUCAUUUGGAUUUAAAGUUUGUGGAGCUUUCAUGACAGGGGCUUCUCUAAAAAAACUUUUGCGAUGUUGUUCUUGUCCGUUAUCUUCAGGGCAAAAUUAGUGAAUAGAGGGCGGAAGAACUUCAUCAGCAUGAUCUCAAACAGCUUCAAGUGAUGCUCAGACACUGAAAACUUGAAUAGUUCAUGCUCUCGCAGCACCUGAGGAGCAUUCACGACAGUCUCCCUCAGCGGCUGCUUAAAAUUUCUUCGUUAGCAAGCAAUACUUCAACAUACUUGUGCAAAGAGUUCGUCUGACGAAUACAUUCGUCUGACGGAUACAACAGACCGCCUCUGUCUUAAAGUGUAAUCUGAGAAUCUGAUAUUGCCGAGGGCUUUGGCUUUGUAAACAAACUGAGACCUGAGGCAUUCUUUGCAAGACACCCGCUCAUUAACAGCUCUUAACAGGUAUCUGCCAGCGAUAGCUGGUGCUGCACAUUCUGGCAAACGAAGCGUUUCAUUGUGCCGGGGGGUGUGGUUGACCAGCGCUGCUAUCACCUCUUUGGAAAAUUCUUCGGAUGGUUCUGGCAUAGUGCUUACGUGCAUUUGCCAGCGUAGCGAUGAGCAUGUGGUGUCUUUCGUGUCCAUCACAUUGCUGCUUUUUGAUUUUGAUGCAAUGCCUGUCUUUAAAAACGUUCUUGUUCCGCACAAAGUUGCUUGCACGUCUGCUGGUCGUUGCUUCCAGCUGACCUCCUCAAUCACCCCCAAAAAAAAGAUUCAAUGGCGUCGGACGAGAGCUUUCUAGUCGGAACAAAUCGAAAGUGCAUCUCUGUCGGCAAGUAUCUGAUGCAUUCCUCAUUUGAGCGAAUAUAACUUUGUGCCACUUCUCUCUAAGUUCGUCAUCGCUCGCAAUUUCAUGAAAUGAGAUGCCCGAGACCUUUCUCUUACUGUACGAGGUGCAUCCAGGUACACAACAGUACGCCACACCACUGGGUGUCAACUCGCAAAGCGCCCCAUCAAAUCACCUAAAGUAGCAUAACUCACUUGUGACCACUAUGUCUUCUCUUCGGCCACAAGGCUCUCGUUUGCGUAGCUGCUAGACGUCCUCAAUGAGGCACCGACAGUGUUGCCACAGCCACAGUCCUUCAAUACCGUGCCACAGCUCACCACGUCCAUCAAAGGCAGAAGACGAAGACAAGUUUUUUCCCACCCGUGGACUGCUGCAGAAAAGUGGUGAUCUCUCAGCAAACCAGCGAACUGUCAGCAAACGAGGCAAAUGAGAGUUGUCUCGAUUUGACUCUAAUGGAAACGUGGGCACUAAAUUUUUUGCGCCUAUGCACGGCGGCUAGCGAACUAUUCUCAGGUAGCAGCGCCCUAAGCGGGCGACGUGCGAGGAGGUCAGGCAAGGAGGUUGAACGGCGCUCCCGGAGUGAGUGUGCGGGCACAAGAAGUAUAUAGGAAGCUAUGGUCAUGCGUAUUAGCUUCCCGUUUGUUAUGUUUCUUUUCCCAGUUACGUCCAGAAACUGCUCCAUAUUAAAAUAACCAAUUGUGAAAAAAAGUGUUUAAGGAUCAACUGAACUGCCAGGCAGCAAUAAUAGUAUUUACUGAGCAGAUUUUUGAUAGUUUGUUAGUGCCUGUUCAACUUCAAAUAAGGUUUCGUGUGAAAGUAGCUUUGUGCGUCAUCAGGACUGCUGCCACAAGCAUUAUAAGAUGUUACGUUUUCCCGGAUCAUAUAUUUUUUUCUCUGGUCUCCCUGAAUAUAUAUCAACAGAGUUCUACUGCAUACCAUACAGUCUAAUUUUAACGCACACCUUUUUUCCAAGGAAAUGUGGCUGAAAUCUGCCUGUGCAUUACAAUCGGAUACAAAACCAAAACAACAUUCAUGGCAUUUGCAACAGCCUACUUUCAAAGCAAGCUUUAGCACAAUCGUCACCACAAGGUGGCAACAGAAAAAUUUCCAUGCGCAGUUUGCCAGCAAUGACACAGUGCGCUAAUUUAAAAUAUGAGCUGUUUCACAUGCUUAGCUGCCAGCAGCAGAUCCGUCUCAUGUGUUUUUGUCAUAUGGGAGACUUCUAUGUUGUAGUACAAGCUAGUGAAGUGCUUAGGCAAGGCGUGGGCUGCCAUCUCAUAGAAGAUUGUUACGGAGUUCUUCAGGAAAUAUGAGAUACCGAACACAAUGGACUACAUGGAGGAUGACAUGUUGUACACCAAAGACAGUGAGAAAGAGCUGUGGCAGUGGACAGAGUGAAUAAGUCUGCAUUCUCAGAAGAUAAAUUCUGCAGGUUUCAGCUUUGUUGGAUCGUAAAAAUUGAGGUAUGCAAAUCGUAAAGGCGACAGACUUAAGUGACUUGUUGCAAUGGCUCAUACCUUAGAAAUAAUGGCGUCUAGUCGAGUGGUACAAGAAAUGUAGUCAGCAAUGGCUUACCUCCUUAAGGCUGAGGCUACAAACGCUGAGCAAGGUGAAGCAAACAGUGCACACAUUCAUUGAAAUCAACCAUACAACACACAGAACAGCAUAUGUUUCGAUAAAGCAUUGCAUA